This 379-nucleotide long non-coding RNA is filed under the name Linum usitatissimum (flax). Its description in RNAcentral is "long non-coding RNA (LUSI_LNC001353)". The record is from RNAcentral. Lineage: Eukaryota; Viridiplantae; Streptophyta; Magnoliopsida; Malpighiales; Linaceae.
UACUGCAUAUCUUUGCUUCUCUACACGUUAUCUACCUUUCGUUGCUUAGCAUAAUGUUGAGGCAUCAUCUUGCUCCAUUUCUGCAUCUUUGAGAAUGGUUUUCCUCAUCUCUGCUUCUCUCCAUGCUAUCUACUCGUUGUUUCUCUGCAUAAUGCAGACCUCGAACAAGGUGGCAUCAUCUUCCGUUUCUGCAUCUUUUGAGAAUGGUUUUCUUCAUCUCUGCACGUAUCUACUCAUCAUUGAUCUGUAUAAUGUUGAGCUUGAACACAGUAGCAUCAUCUUGCUCCAUUACUGCAUCUUUGAUAAUGGUUUUCUUCAUCUCUGCACCUAUCUCCACUCGUUGUUGCUCUGCAUAACGUUGAGAUUGAACACGCUGAGU